UACGGGGGGAGCAAGCGUUGUUCGGAUUUACUGGGCGUAAAGGGCGCGUAGGCGGUCAGCACAAGUCAGUUGUGAAAUCUCCGGGCUUAACUCGGAAAGGUCAACUGAUACUGUGCGACUAGAGUGCAGAAGGGGCAACUGGAAUUCUCGGUGUAGCGGUGAAAUGCGUAGAUAUCGAGAGGAACACCUGCGGCGAAGGCGGGUUGCUGGGCUGACACUCACGCUGAUGCGCGAAAGCCAGGGGAGCGAACGGG
RNAcentral lists this ribosomal RNA (254 nucleotides) under uncultured bacterium. RNAcentral describes it as "partial 16S ribosomal RNA". It matches the Rfam family "Bacterial small subunit ribosomal RNA", at positions 524 to 776 of the family's 1533-position model. The record is from RNAcentral.